This 255-nucleotide unclassified non-coding RNA is filed under the name Hevea brasiliensis (rubber tree). The record is from RNAcentral. Lineage: Eukaryota; Viridiplantae; Streptophyta; Magnoliopsida; Malpighiales; Euphorbiaceae.
GGUGAACUUGCUAUUAGGUUAACAAGUGAAAAAAUUAUCUUACAAUAUGAAGUGAUAACGGGGUACUGGUUUUUUUAUGUCACUGGUGUGUUAUGAUAAUUUUAAAAAAGAUAGCAUGCAUUUAGUAUCUUCAUGAAUUUAUCGUCUUAUCCUUUCUUAUUUUCUGCUUUGGGGAUUGGGGUGAUACAUGAGGUUAUCCUUGAGGUCCUUGUCAUUUCACAAAUUCCUUUAUUCCGUUUUAACUUUUAAGUCACG